RNAcentral lists this ribosomal RNA (431 nucleotides) under uncultured bacterium. RNAcentral's name for it is "bacterial SSU rRNA". It matches the Rfam family "Bacterial small subunit ribosomal RNA", at positions 354 to 796 of the family's 1533-position model. The record is from RNAcentral.
GUGGGGAAUAUUGCGCUAAUGCGCGAAAGCGUGACGCAGCGACACCGCGUGGGGGAUGAAGGCCCUCGGGUUGUAAACCCCUUUCGGCAGGGACGAAGCGAAAGUGACGGUACCUGCAGAAGAAGUCCCGGCUAACUACGUGCCAGCAGCCGCGGUAACACGUAGGGGACGAGCGUUGUCCGGAUUUAUUGGGCGUAAAGCGCGCGUAGGCGGUCGUGCAAGUCGGUUGUGAAAACCCGGGGCUCAACCCCGGGCCUGCGUCCGAUACUGCUCGACUCGAGGUAGGUAGGGGAGAUCGGAAUUCCUGGUGUAGCGGUGAAAUGCGCAGAUAUCAGGAGGAACACCGGUGGCGAAGGCGGAUCUCUGGGCCUUACCUGACGCUGAGGCGCGAAAGCUAGGGGAGCGAACAGGAUUAGAUACCCCUGUAGUCC